UUUUCAAUAAAUUUUAUUUUAUAUAUACAUUUUAAAAUUAUGUUGCGAAUGUCUUAAGGUUCAUUUUGUUAAAAUUCAUCAUUAUUGAGCGGAAUUAAAACAGGAACCAAAUUAACUUUUACCGGGCGCCCAUUUAUUUUGGACUUCGGAUUAAGUACAACAUUUAUUUUAAAUGUACAAUAUAUAUAUAUAUAUAURUAUACGCAUGGCGCAUUUUCAGGCAAAAGGGUUAAAAAAAGCCUUCCGUCAAAAUCCCUUUUAUAUAUUUAUAUAAUAUUUAGCGUAUUUUUAAUUACGCAUUUUUAGGCAAAAGGGUUAAAAAAGCCUUCCGUCAAAAUCCCUUUUUAAGUUAUGCACUUUCCAGCUUACCUUAAUAGCGCAUAAUGAUUAUUUGCAUGUAUUAUUUGUGAUUUGAAAUUCAUAUCAUAUAUGAAUUGUUUCUUUCGGAUUGGAAACAUCUUUAAUG
RNAcentral lists this unclassified non-coding RNA (466 nucleotides) under Glossina palpalis palpalis. RNAcentral describes it as "sequence contains ITS1". The record is from RNAcentral. Lineage: Eukaryota; Metazoa; Arthropoda; Insecta; Diptera; Glossinidae.